UACGGAGGAUGCGAGCGUUAUCCGGAUUUAUUGGGUUUAAAGGGUGCGUAGGCGGAUUUUUAAGUCAGCGGUAAAAUGUCCGAGCUCAACUCGGGAACUGCCUCUAAUACUGUUGAUCUAGAGAGUAGAUGCGGUAGGCGGAAUGUAUGGUGUAGCGGUGAAAUGCUUAGAGAUCAUACAGAACACCGAUUGCGAAGGCAGCUUACCAAUCUAUAUCUGACGUUGAGGCACGAAAGCGUGGGGAGCAAACAGG
Molecule: ribosomal RNA, 253 nt
Filed under: uncultured Rikenellaceae bacterium
Lineage: Bacteria; Pseudomonadati; Bacteroidota; Bacteroidia; Bacteroidales; Rikenellaceae
Description: partial 16S ribosomal RNA
Rfam family: Bacterial small subunit ribosomal RNA
Source: RNAcentral